This 67-nucleotide transfer RNA is filed under the name fish gut metagenome. It matches the Rfam family "tRNA". Rfam says of the family: Transfer RNA (tRNA) molecules are approximately 80 nucleotides in length. Their secondary structure includes four short double-helical elements and three loops (D, anti-codon, and T loops). The record is from RNAcentral.
UGGUGUAGCUCAAUUGGCAGAGCUUCUGAUUUGUAAUCAGAUGGUUGCGGGUUCGAGUCCCAUCACC